GACAGAGGGUGCAAACGUUGCUCGGAAUUACUGGGCGUAAAGGGCGUGUAGGCGGGAAGGCAAGUCGGGCGUGAAAUCCCCAGGCUCAACCUGGGAACUGCACUCGAAACUGCCUUUCUUGAGUGCCGGAGAGGAAAGCGGAAUUCCUGGUGUAGAGGUGUAAGUUCGUAGAUAUCAGGAGGAACACCAGUGGCGAAGGCGGCGUUUCUGGACGGGUAACUGACGCUGGAGACGCGAAAGCGUGGGGAGCAAACAGG
RNAcentral lists this ribosomal RNA (257 nucleotides) under uncultured bacterium. Its description in RNAcentral is "partial 16S ribosomal RNA". It matches the Rfam family "Bacterial small subunit ribosomal RNA", at positions 524 to 776 of the family's 1533-position model. The record is from RNAcentral.